Molecule: ribosomal RNA, 446 nt
Filed under: uncultured bacterium
Lineage: Bacteria
Description: partial 16S ribosomal RNA
Rfam family: Bacterial small subunit ribosomal RNA
Source: RNAcentral
UCCAGACUCCUACGGGAGGCAGCAGUGGGGGAUAUUGCACAAUGGGGGGAACCCUGAUGCAGCGACGCCGCGUGGGUGAAGGAGCGUUUCGGCGCGUAAAGCCCUAUCGGCAGGGAAGAAGGAGGACGGUACCUGACUAAGAAGCCCCGGCUAACUACGUGCCAGCAGCCGCGGUAAUACGUAGGGGGCAAGCGGUAUCCGGGUUUACUGGGUGUAAAGGGGGCGCAGACGGCAGCGCAAGCCAGGAGUGAAAGCCCGGGGCCCAACCCCGGGACUGCUCUUGGAACUGCGCGGCUGGAGUGCAGGAGGGGCAGGCGGAAUUCCUGGUGUAGCGGUGAAAUGCGUAGAUAUCAGGAGGAACACCGGUGGCGAAGGCGGCCUGCUGGACUGCGACUGACGUUGAGGCCCGAAAGCGUGGGAAGCAAACAGGAUUAGAUACCCGUGUA